CGGGGCGUAGCGCAGCUGGUUAGCGCACUCGCUUGGGGUGCGAGAGGCCGGUGGUUCGAAUCCACUCGCCCCGA
RNAcentral lists this transfer RNA (74 nucleotides) under Elusimicrobia bacterium HGW-Elusimicrobia-1. Its description in RNAcentral is "tRNA-Pro". It matches the Rfam family "tRNA". From Rfam's summary of the family: Transfer RNA (tRNA) molecules are approximately 80 nucleotides in length. Their secondary structure includes four short double-helical elements and three loops (D, anti-codon, and T loops). Further hydrogen bonds mediate the characteristic L-shaped molecular structure. tRNAs have two regions of fundamental functional importance: the anti-codon, which is responsible for specific mRNA codon recognition, and the 3' end, to which the tRNAs corresponding amino acid is attached (by aminoacyl-tRNA synthetases). tRNAs cope with the degeneracy of the genetic code in two manners: having more than one tRNA (with a specific anti-codon) for a particular amino acid; and 'wobble' base-pairing, i.e. permitting non-standard base-pairing at the 3rd anti-codon position. Lineage: Bacteria; Pseudomonadati; Elusimicrobiota. The record is from RNAcentral.